Molecule: long non-coding RNA, 502 nt
Organism: Sciurus carolinensis (gray squirrel)
Lineage: Eukaryota; Metazoa; Chordata; Mammalia; Rodentia; Sciuridae
Exons: 3
Source: RefSeq, a predicted model, not a curated record
GGGACGCCCUUCUUCCAGGAGUGCGCCUACCCCACAGCCUCAUCAAGAGCUUACCCAGGAGGGAGCCAGGCCAGCUCCAGAAUGUCACUUUUCUUACUUGACAUGAAGUUAUGUUCCCCCCACGCCUUCCACUUUGGGGUGUGGCCAGAGCAUCAUGCAGAAGUGGGAGCUGGAGAAAUGGAGAAAACCAUCCCGACCUUGAACUUGAACCAUCCCCACUCUCCCACGUGGGGCCGAUCUGGUGUAGAGCACGUCACUUUCUCUGCAUCGUUCAUGAAACUCAACGAAUAUAAUCCUUGGCUUCUCUGCAGUCUGUCCCAGGGGAGGUAGAGUGUGGUAUUUGGUGAAUUUGGCUCAUGUCCUUCCCAUCUUCUCACCACUUGGAACUUGCUGUCUACCGGAGGCUGGCCUUAUUCCCUGUUCUCUAGCCCCUUUGUCCACUGUGGUAACUACUGACCACCUGGCCAGUUUGAAUAGAGAGGAGUUCUUCAUGUAAAAAUUA